Long non-coding RNA from Herpailurus yagouaroundi (jaguarundi), 1931 nucleotides. RefSeq lists it as uncharacterized. The transcript is spliced from 3 exons. The record is from RefSeq and is a predicted model, not a curated record. NCBI's taxonomy places the organism in Eukaryota, Metazoa, Chordata, Mammalia, Carnivora, Felidae.
CUUUUAUACACACAGCUAAUUUUCUUUUGGCCAACAAGCCCAUCUUGACAAUUGACGAGAGAUCAAAAAAGGGCAUGGUGUUAAAGAGGACCCAGGCUGGAGGGAAGCAAGAGGCCAGUUCCCUCACCUGUUGGCACACGGCACCAAGGUGCUCAGGGGCCCUCUUUACCUUGAAGAAGGUGGACUCAAUCCCUGUUCUACAGCGUGGCCUCCCAUGUGACUGAGAAGUGAGGAGGGCUGCUCUCGACCUCAUCGUGGAGUCGGCUGACCUCACCCCAACAGCCAGGCUCCAGGACUCUCACCACACAUGAAAAAUAAAACCCUGCUUUUAAAGCCAUUGUCGUGGUUCCUGUAACAAGCAGGCAGAAGACCUUCUUGCUUAUACAGGGGUUUAUAAUUCAUAGGAAGUCUUAGGAGUGUUUGAUGAGAUCGCAAGAAGACAUGAACAGGAACCCACCCAGAAAGUGAGGCUGGGAAGUUCUAUUACGUCCUCAUCUCAAACUAUGAAACCACUGAGAGCUUGAGCAAACCAGAAUCACCUCUUCAGCAGAUCCUGGUCAACGCGCUCCCCAGCAUCAUUACAAGGCACGGGCCAACCAUAAUCCGGGUUGGUUUUGGCCUGACAUGCUGUGUCCCGAGAUGGCAAGGACCGGGCAAGGCUUUGCAGGUUCCUCUGCAUUUCCUAGGGUAUCGUUCUCUUAAAAGAACCAACGAAGUGAUAGACUGCUCUCGUUAACGCCAUGACAGCGGGGACUGUGCCUGAGGCGUUCACCACUGGACCCCCGACAUCCGGCCCUAAGACAGGCACAGAGGAGACACUCACUAAACAUCAUUCGAAUUGGAUGGAAUUGAAUUACGUUAGCGUCGCCAGUAGGUGUCGGGACCAGGAUUUGACCCACAUAGUCUAGUUCCAUGGUUUCUGCUAUAAAACACUCUGAUGAACUGCCUCCUAACAUGACAUAGGAUUAAAAAGGACAAUGCAUUGCUGAGGCCUGGAAUCUCCUCCCUGAUUCCUCCCUGCCACCCCAGUGCCCACAUUUCCUUCAAAGUUUAAGACCUGCUUCCUACGUGAAGCCUUCCCAGAUAAAUCCAGUCUCCUUCAUCUCCGAAUGCCUUUCGUGCGUAUUGGGUACUAUGCAUCAUAUGUUCGAGAAACUGUCUUGUAUCAAUUUCUAAAUGCCUUAUAACGCUAAUCCUUCUUGCUGAGCCAGCUGGUCACAGUCUCACAGAAAUAAUCCCAUCGGAGACUGCUUUUCUGUCUCUCACAGUAUCAGCACGUGAAGUACAGAGUACAUGCUCUAUAAAGAUUAAUUGACCUUCGAUUUGAAAUGGAUGAAAGGGAUGCCUACAAAGGGAUGGGCAAUUAACCUGAGCUCAUUCUCACAGCUAUUAAAUUUUUUAUUAUAGAAUAAGAAUCACGUUCACAAGAGAAUUGUCCAACCUUCACCCUCACAUUUUCUUGGUAAACAACCCUUCCCUUCGCCCAGCUGACCUUGCCUCCUUUAACUUGCCAAGUUAUUUUGAAUAAGGAGAAGGAUCCUGGUCUGUGUGUGUGGGUCUCAGGAUUAAUACUACAUUUGGCUCUAGUGGCUGAAGGGGCAGCCUCUUGGAUCCUCAGAGUUAUGCUUCGGUGGAGAACCCUUGCCACAGAGAGACCUGCGGGGAGCCUGGGCAUGGCCAAUGGAUAUUGACAGCUUCACUGACAUUUACACGAGCUGAUUAUUAGUUGAAGAACUUUGCGUAAACAGUUGCCAUUUCAAACCAAUUGAUUUCUGUGAACUUAUAGCACAGGUACUGCUUAUGAAUAUGAAUACUUUUCACUGGUGAUUUCUUUAUUUUGUGGGCCUGACCACUCCUCUGUCUCACUAUGAAGCCCAACCUCUUAUUUUCAGACAAAGGAAUAAAGGCUCAGAGAGGGGCCUGUGACCACA